GACGUAGGGCGCGAGCGUUGUCCGGAUUUAUUGGGCGUAAAGAGCUCGUAGGCGGCCUGUUGCGUCCGCUGUGAAAUCCCGGGGCUCAACCCCGGGCGUGCAGUGGAUACGGGCUGGCUGGAGGCAGGCAGGGGAGAACGGAAUUCCUGGUGUAGCGGUGAAAUGCGCAGAUAUCAGGAGGAACACCAGUGGCGAAGGCGAUCAUCUGGGGUUGUUCUGACACUGAGGAGCGAAAGCUAGGGGAGCAAACGGG
Molecule: ribosomal RNA, 253 nt
Filed under: uncultured bacterium
Lineage: Bacteria
Description: partial 16S ribosomal RNA
Rfam family: Bacterial small subunit ribosomal RNA
Source: RNAcentral